Molecule: ribosomal RNA, 478 nt
Filed under: uncultured bacterium
Lineage: Bacteria
Description: partial 16S ribosomal RNA
Rfam family: Bacterial small subunit ribosomal RNA
Source: RNAcentral
GAUGAACGCUAGCGGCAGGCUUAACACAUGCGAGUCGAGGGGUAUUUAUCUUCGGAUAGAGAGACCGGCGCACGGGUGCGUAACGCGUAUGCAAUCUACCUUUUACAGAGGGAUAGCCAAGAGAAAUUUGGAUUAAUACUUCAUAGUAUAUAGACUCGGCAUCGAGAUUAUAUUAAAGUAACAACGGUAAAAGAUGAACAUGCGUCCCAUUAGCUAGUUGGUAAGGUAACGGCUUACCAAGGCUACGAUGGGUAGGGGUCCUGAGAGGGAGAUCCCCCAAACUGGUACUGAGACCCGGACCAGACCGCUACGGGAGGCAGCAGUGAGGAGUAUUGUGGGAGGAGCGCAAGCCUGAUCCAGCCAUGCCGGGUGAAGGAGGACGCGCAUAUGGAAUGUAAACUGCUUUUAUACGAGAAGAGUAACUGCUACGUGUAGCAGCUUGACGGUAUCGUAAGAAUAAGGAUCGGCUAACUCCGUG